UACGUAGGGUCCAAGCGUUAUCCGGAAUCACUGGGCGUAAAGCGUGCGUAGGUGGCGUGUUAAGUGUGAUGUUAAAUCGUGUGGCUCAACCAUAUCGAUGUGUCGCAUACUGGCAUGCUAGAGGACAGCAGAGGCAAGUGGAAUUAGUAGUGUAGCAGUGAAAUGCGUAGAUAUUACUAGGAACACCAAUGGCGAAGGCAGCUUGCUGGGCUACUCCUGACACUGAGGUACGAAAGCGUGGGGAGCGAACAGG
This 253-nucleotide ribosomal RNA is filed under the name uncultured bacterium. RNAcentral's name for it is "partial 16S ribosomal RNA". It matches the Rfam family "Bacterial small subunit ribosomal RNA", at positions 524 to 776 of the family's 1533-position model. The record is from RNAcentral. RNAcentral also lists the same sequence under 1 other name.